RNAcentral lists this ribosomal RNA (254 nucleotides) under uncultured bacterium. Its description in RNAcentral is "partial 16S ribosomal RNA". It matches the Rfam family "Bacterial small subunit ribosomal RNA", at positions 524 to 776 of the family's 1533-position model. The record is from RNAcentral.
UACGGAGGGGGCUAGCGUUGUUCGGAAUUACUGGGCGUAAAGGGCGCGUAGGCGGCGCGAUAAGUUGGGCGUGAAAGGCCCGGGCUCAACCCGGGGACUGCGCUUGAUACUGUCGCGCUGUGAGUCCGGGAGAGGAUGGCGGAAUUCCCAGUGUAGAGGUGAAAUUCGUAGAUAUUGGGAAGAACACCGGUGGCGAAGGCGGCGACCUGGUCCGAUACUGACGCUGAGGCGCGAAAGCGUGGGGAGCAAACAGG